GACGAACGCUGGCGGCGUGCUUAACACAUGCAAGUCGUACGGUAAGGCCCUUUCGGGGGUACACGAGUGGCGAACGGGUGAGUAACACGUGAGUAACCUGCCCACAACUUUGGGAUAACGCUAGGAAACUGGUGCUAAUACUGGAUAUGUGCUCCUGCUGCAUGGUGGGGGUUGGAAAGCUCCGGCGGUUGUGGAUGGACUCGCGGCCUAUCAGCUUGUUGGUGGGGUAGUGGCCUACCAACGCGGCGACGGGUAGCCGGCCUGAGAGGGUGACCGGCCACAUUGGGACUGAGAUACGGCCCAGACUCCUACGGGAGGCAGCAGUGGGGAAUAUUGCACAAUGGGCGCAAGCCUGAUGCAGCAACGCCGCGUGCGGGAUGACGGCCUUCGGGUUGUAAACCGCUUUCAGCAGGGACGAAGCUUUUUGUGACGGUACCUGCAGAAGAAGCACCGGCUAACUACGUG
This 465-nucleotide ribosomal RNA is filed under the name uncultured bacterium. RNAcentral's name for it is "partial 16S ribosomal RNA". It matches the Rfam family "Bacterial small subunit ribosomal RNA", at positions 28 to 507 of the family's 1533-position model. The record is from RNAcentral.